This is a long non-coding RNA of Bolinopsis microptera, 412 nucleotides long. RefSeq lists it as uncharacterized. Lineage: Eukaryota; Metazoa; Ctenophora; Tentaculata; Lobata; Bolinopsidae. The record is from RefSeq and is a predicted model, not a curated record. The transcript is spliced from 3 exons.
UUAUGCACCUCAUCCUACACUAACUUCCCUGUUAAUCUCCCCUCUACUGCUGACAAGGUGUGGCGUAUCACUCUAACCAGGACUGCAGGUGUUAGACUAGUGAUACACUGUAACGAGGUGGAGGUGCUCAGCAUACUGCUCUCUCAAUCAACGUGUGAUGACAGUAGGUGGAGCACGUACUGGAACAGGGACGUAGCAAAGAUAAUGUUCAGGCCCCGCGACACAGCAUCUGAUUACUACGGAACACAACCAGAGCCGUGUGGAGAAGGAACAUAUCGGAAUGAUGCUAUGACAAGCUGUGAGACAUGUGACGCUGGAUUGACACCAAACUCUGAUAAAACAGCCUGUGAGCCAUGUCCAGCUGGAAGCUACAAGAACAUUGACAUGAACACAUGUAACGAAUGUCCUGAUA